GGGAAUCUUGCGCAAUGGGCGAAAGCCUGACGCAGCGACGCCGCGUGAGUGAUGAAGGCCUUCGGGUUGUAAAGCUCUGUGGGGAGAGACGAAUAAGUAUUGGCUCAUAUCCAAUAUGAUGACGGUAUCUCCUUAGCAAGCACCGGCUAACUCUGUGCCAGCAGCCGCGGUAAGACAGAGGGUGCAAACGUUGUUCGGAAUUACUGGGCGUAAAGCGGGUGUAGGCGGCUACGUAAGUCGGAUGUGAAAGCCCCAGGCUCAACCUGGGAAGUGCACUCGAUACUGCAUAGCUUGAGUACUGGAGAGGUUGGUGGAAUUCUCGGUGUAGAGGUGAAAUUCGUAGAUAUCGAGAGGAACAUCGGUGGCGAAGGCGGCCAACUGGACAGAUACUGACGCUCAGGUGCGAAAGCGUGGGGAGCAAAC
This 423-nucleotide ribosomal RNA is filed under the name uncultured bacterium. RNAcentral's name for it is "bacterial SSU rRNA". It matches the Rfam family "Bacterial small subunit ribosomal RNA", at positions 357 to 773 of the family's 1533-position model. The record is from RNAcentral.